UGAAUUGCAAUGAAGUUCAGUUAUAUAUAAUCUAGUCAAAGUCAAAACAGCAAUCUGUUUAGUGAAGAAUUUGCAAUUUCAAAUUUGGUUAGUCCAGAAAAUGGAAUUUAACUUGAAAAGUUAAGAAACUUGAGAACCUUGAAAGAGAGGGAAGUGAUAGGCUGGGCGUGACCAUGCAAUCAUUUAUUUAUACCUAAAGAAAAAUGACAAUCACAGUGAACAGUCAUUGGCAUGCAUUAAACACACAAACAACCCUCCUAAAUGUCUUUAAAUUUUGUUUGCAUGUGUUGAACCAGUUGCGAACUUAUGAUUAUUGCCACAUAUUGAUAUAUCUAUUCCUGCUCUGUGUUCUCAAGUAUUAGUAAUUUGCUGAGCAA
This 377-nucleotide unclassified non-coding RNA is filed under the name Hevea brasiliensis (rubber tree). Lineage: Eukaryota; Viridiplantae; Streptophyta; Magnoliopsida; Malpighiales; Euphorbiaceae. The record is from RNAcentral.